This 441-nucleotide ribosomal RNA is filed under the name uncultured bacterium. RNAcentral's name for it is "partial 16S ribosomal RNA". It matches the Rfam family "Bacterial small subunit ribosomal RNA", at positions 338 to 795 of the family's 1533-position model. The record is from RNAcentral.
CCUACGGGAGGCAGCAGUGGGGGAUAUUGCACAAUGGGGGGAACCCUGAUGCAGCGACGCCGCGUGGGUGAAGGAGUGCUUCGGCAUGUAAAGCCCUAUCGGCAGGGAAGAAGCAAGACGGUACCUGACUAAGAAGCCCCGGCUAACUACGUGCCAGCAGCCGCGGUAAUACGUAGGGGGCGAGCGUUAUCCGGAUUCACUGGGUGUAAAGGGAGCGUAGACGGCCAUGCAAGCCAGGGGUGAAAGCCCGGGGCCCAACCCCAGGACUGCCCUUGGAACUGUGCGGCUAGAGUGCGGGAGGGGCAGGCGGAAUUCCUGGUGUAGCGGUGAAAUGCGUAGAUAUCAGGAGGAACACCGGCGGCGAAGGCGGCCUGCUGGACUGCGACUGACGUUGAGGCUCGAAAGCGUGGGGAGCGAACAGGAUUAGAUACCCCUGUAGUC